CGGCGCAGCAGGGGGAGGUGUCGACAGAUCCAGCUUGGCGCAGUGACAGUUUCGUGCCAAAAGGCUUCGCCGAAGGUGCGCUAAAAGCUCGCCAGCUGAAACCAGGUCUACUGUCAGCACAGGGGGAGCGCAGCCGGUGUAAGCCGAAGUUUGGCUGACCGGCGGACAGUGCGCACACGUCACCAAAACCUCACAGGCAGGUUUCCAGAAUAUCAGGCACAUUAACGAUGCAAUAAAUACCCAAAAAACCACUAUUCAAUGCAACUAUCUGCAAUCAGCACAUAAAUGUAUCUCUAUAUCGACUGUCCCGUCACAUCUGAUGUCAGAUCAAAGGGGAUUGGCACCGUUUGGCACGUUUGGCACGCGUAAUGGAAACCCAACCUGAUUUGAUUAACACAGCUGCAAACUAAUGAGUUCACAUCCCUCUCAGCCAACCACAAACAGCCACAGCAUCAGAUGGGGAGUAUAUAUUCAGCAUCUGUCAUCUUAGAAAAGUCAAAAGAA
Molecule: long non-coding RNA, 504 nt
Organism: Epinephelus moara (kelp grouper)
Lineage: Eukaryota; Metazoa; Chordata; Actinopteri; Perciformes; Serranidae
Exons: 3
Source: RefSeq, a predicted model, not a curated record